AUGUCUGAAUCUCAGGUACACUAAAGUACCUUUGUGCUUCUCUAUCCAUAUAGAGCUGUGAUAAUUCCUGCUUGGCAGGUUACUGGAGGAGUGGGUAGAGGAAUCCUCAAUUUUUAAAUCAUUGUGGAAGAGGCUGUUCCAAAUGCUACAGUGCUACUGUAUUCACAAGCCCUGCUUCUAAACAGAGAUGAUGAUGGGACUUCUCAAACCUCCUCCAAGAAGAGAGCUCAGCACAGUAGGAGCUAAUUGCUGUGCACAGAGACCAUAUUUCCUGGAAAGUGGUAGGAACUGAUUACCCUCUUAGAUCACUGUGGGCGAGAAGUAAUUCUGCUGCAGCCAAGAGAUAUAUAAGUGGUACUCUGCAUGAGAUGGAACGAGAUAAACAGAGUUUCUACGCUGAAGAACAACUGUGUAGGAGAAAGCAAAGAUCUUUACAUGGAGAUCCAACAGAUCAUGAAUUCUCUGUUCAACUUUCUGAUUGCUGUGCUUCUCCCAAUUUCUUCUGUGUGUAGGAUUUUGCAAGUCCAUUCAGAGACACAGAGCAAAAGUGAAAGGCUGUCUGUCAUUCCUAAGGCCCGGGCAUGGGGAGAGAUAUCCAGUUAUCUUCUGCAUGUAGAAGACAAGCUUUCUCUCCAACAGACCUCAUGGCUAGGAGCUACAGAGCUGCCUGCUCCCGUGGAGUGGAAAGGAGAAAUAUGUGUUGUCAGCUAAGCAGGACCUUUGAUUCAGUAUGGCAUGAAGCUCUGCUUUCCAGCCCCAUAGUACACACAGUGAGGACACCGUAUGAUGACAAAAUCAUUUCAGCUUUCAGUUAAAAAAGAGAUUUCGACUAUUGAAAUUCAUCAGAAAUUUUGAAAAUAUGAACCUGAAAAGGUGUCAAAAGCCAAG
This 888-nucleotide long non-coding RNA is filed under the name Dromaius novaehollandiae (emu). RNAcentral's name for it is "lncRNA (ENSDNVG00000016814.1)". Lineage: Eukaryota; Metazoa; Chordata; Aves; Casuariiformes; Dromaiidae. The record is from RNAcentral.